GCCGCUAUAGCUCAGUGGCUAGAGCGUUGGUCUCGUAAACCAAAGGUCGCAAGUUCGAAUCUUGCUGGUAUGCG
This 74-nucleotide transfer RNA is filed under the name Trichonephila inaurata madagascariensis. RNAcentral's name for it is "tRNA-Thr". The stretch from base 5 to 68 matches the Rfam family "tRNA", at positions 5 to 66 of the family's 71-position model. Rfam says of the family: Transfer RNA (tRNA) molecules are approximately 80 nucleotides in length. The record is from RNAcentral. Lineage: Eukaryota; Metazoa; Arthropoda; Arachnida; Araneae; Nephilidae.